UGACCACGUGAACAUGAGCGAG
RNAcentral lists this unclassified non-coding RNA (22 nucleotides) under Mus musculus (house mouse). RNAcentral describes it as "oocyte_clustered_small_RNA13359". The record is from RNAcentral. Lineage: Eukaryota; Metazoa; Chordata; Mammalia; Rodentia; Muridae.